UGGUGUUCCUCUUGUCCCUGAAGCUAAAGUCUCACCUAAACCAGGAGCAAUCUCGGCUUCUACAAGGUUACUGUCUGGAUCAGCUGGACUGACCGUGUGCAAAACAAAAGAUAGGUCCGGCGAAAGCAUUUCUUGAACAAGAACCGCCAUUGAAGCUUCUUUUUGAGUGACACCAGCAGCUCUACGGCUUAGAACAGCUCUUCUUGUGUAGAGAGAAGCCCAAACUUGGCAAAC
Camelina sativa (false flax) is the source of this 234-nucleotide non-coding RNA. The record is from RefSeq and is a predicted model, not a curated record. Lineage: Eukaryota; Viridiplantae; Streptophyta; Magnoliopsida; Brassicales; Brassicaceae.